UUUGAAUCCUCUGUUAGUGGCCGUUAUGGUGGUCUCGUCGAACGUCUUUUUAUUCUCUUCUUGAUUUCUCUCUGCAUGGGACCCUGGGUAGUUUCUAGUAUGUCUCUUACUUUCUCUCUCGCUCUCAUUCUUUUUGUGCUUUCAGUGAUACAGAAAGACACUGACCUCGAUUUUCGCAUCUGAAUUGUAUGGUUUGUUUUUUCUGUUUUUGUUGUUGUUGGGAAUGAGAUAGAAGAGAGGGUGAGAAGCGAAUCAAAAGGAAAUGCUGGUGUUUAAUCAUGCCUGAUCUUGGUUUUGGGCGCCGUCUUCUUUCUGGCGGUGCUGUUUUGUGGAUUUUCGAAGAGGCUGAAGCUCAAAAGCCUUUCCGGUGGACUAGAGAGUUGAGCUGAGUGAGCAUAGAGCUCGUGACAGGAUUAGGCACCGCCGAAUCUUGCAGGGUGGAAAGCUAUGUGAGUCUAUAUUGUUCUUUCUCUUUUGGUUCUUCUGACGUACUUCAUAGAUGGGCUUUCGAAGAUGUUGAUUAUUCUUCUCUAUUUGUUUAAUUUCUUCGGCUUUUGAUCUCUUUAAGACUCUACUGGGUGGGGAUUUAUCGACUCUAUUUUACUAGAGUAAAAUUUGGGGACUCCUCCAAAAGAAUUCUAUGUACAAAUUGACAUGGAAGUGAUGUCUUGUGGAUCACCUGCAAUGCCUGCACUGGUUGCCCCAAAUAUAGGGGCCCGAAUAUUGCUUUGAAUUUCUUUGACGUUAUCGCCUCAUCCACAACUUCUCUAGUAUCUUGUUCAGAUGAAAUAUGUGAUUUGGCGGUUCAAACUUUAGAUGGUGGCUGCACUGCUCAGAAUUCCCAGUGUGGUUACUCCUUUUAGUAUGGUGAUGGAAGUGUAGAAGAUAUGUUCUUCUUUGACACAGUUCUCAAGAAAUCCUUCGUGUUUGAGACGGAAGUAGCAACUAUCAGUCUGGAGAUUUGACCAAGCCAGACAGCAGUUAAUGGGAUUUUUGGGUUUGGGCAGCACGAAUUGUCUGUCAUUUCACAACUAUCCUCACGAGGAGUUGCACCAAAGGUGUUUUCUCAUUGCUUAUAGGAGCUAAUAGUGGUGGAGGUAUAUUGGUUUUUGGUGGGAUUGUGGAGCCAAAUAUUGUCUAUCCUCUUGUUCCAAAUCAGUUCAUUGUGUCUCCACAAUUUCUGGUGUGGAUGAAUUUAUCAACACAGGACAGCCAAGUGUGAGCAGUUCAUCAGAGAUUGUUCCAUGCAGACUGAUAUCAAGCAGUACAGUAGCUAUGGUGUUUCAAUUGCAGGUGCAUCUUUGUAUGGAGGUUCAUCACUGACCUGAGUACCCCUUGUCUUCACAGGUGACUGUACACACAAGAUUUGAAUAAUGUUGGUCACAAGAUUGUCAUGUCUGAAUGCACAAGUAGCUAUAACAGUAAAUUUUUAGGAGAUCACAACAUUGAUCUACAAAUCCCCAAUGUUCGCAACACAGGAGUAGACGGAGCUAUCUUCUUAUACACAGGGUUAAUUCCAAUUUGGGCUGUAAGCCAGAUGGCCUCACAAAGAAACACUGAAAGAAGAGAUGCUGCUAUGAUUCUAUAGCAGCAUUACAUAAAGGGCAGAGUUUUUAUGUUUCCUAUAAAAAAAGGAGUUUGUCUCUGGUUUUCACUCCACCCCACCAUGCCUUCCACAUGAAUAUUUGAAACCUGAAGGGCACUUUUGUUUUCCAGAUGAGAUUCCAGUUCUCAUGUGGUCUUGAGGAGGAUGGUAGCUGAUAUAAAGAAUUUGUAGUCUGUUUUGACACAGAAGCACUUGAGGAUUGUUGCUUUGAGCCUAUCAUUCGAAAGAUCAAAGCUAUAAUUGAAGGUUGGAAGGCUAAACUUUUGACAAUUGGAGUUGUUGCUUCCAUCUCUGCUGGCAAUGAUGAUAGCAUUGAGUGAAUCUUCAUCAUCCUUUGAGACAACUGUAGAGGUGGAAGGAAUGGGGGUCUGUAUCUUUUACAUAGUUUGUCACAAAGCCUGAGAAAAACGAUUAUUGGAUUUGAGAAUGCAAAGAUCUUGGUAACUGAUCAGAAGAUUUCAAUAAUACCUCUGUUGGAGAAGACCACACAGCUAAGAGCUCCUCUACUCAUCAUAGCUGAAGAUGUCACAUAAUUCCUCUAUUUUUUAUCUUGGUUUUUGGGAGAGGAACAAGAGGUCUAAAUAUUCACUGACUGUUUUUCUGGUCUGUAUUUUUACUUGGGAGGAGGCCACACUGUUGAUUUUUCUUGGAGCACAAACCCUCAUGGAUUGCAACUAACUAUACAUACAUAAAAAAACAAAGAAGAGAGAGGGAGAGAGUGAAGCAUUCCUAGCAAUAACCACAAUUAACCAAGUCUUGCAUUGAUGUGAACAAGAUUUGCAUGCAUGCUUGAGAAUGUAGUGCUUUGACAGGUACAAAAUUACAUAUGGUAAAUUUGUUAAAAAGUGAGCCACUUGAAGCUCUUGCCCCACCUUGGGUGGGAAUUUUUCC
Nelumbo nucifera (sacred lotus) is the source of this 2497-nucleotide non-coding RNA. NCBI's taxonomy places the organism in Eukaryota, Viridiplantae, Streptophyta, Magnoliopsida, Proteales, Nelumbonaceae. The record is from RefSeq and is a predicted model, not a curated record.